RNAcentral lists this ribosomal RNA (61 nucleotides) under Trissopathes grasshoffi. RNAcentral describes it as "partial 28S ribosomal RNA". It matches the Rfam family "Eukaryotic large subunit ribosomal RNA", at positions 1 to 57 of the family's 3401-position model. The record is from RNAcentral. Lineage: Eukaryota; Metazoa; Cnidaria; Anthozoa; Antipatharia; Cladopathidae.
AUCUCGACCUCAGAUCAGACAAGGCUACCCGCUGAAUUUAAGCAUAUUAAUAAGCGGAGGA